CGAUAGCUCAGGGGAUAGAGCAGCAGUUUCCUAAACUGUUGGUCGCAGGUUCAAAUCCUGUUCG
RNAcentral lists this transfer RNA (64 nucleotides) under human gut metagenome. It matches the Rfam family "tRNA", at positions 5 to 66 of the family's 71-position model. Rfam says of the family: Transfer RNA (tRNA) molecules are approximately 80 nucleotides in length. Their secondary structure includes four short double-helical elements and three loops (D, anti-codon, and T loops). The record is from RNAcentral.